RNAcentral lists this ribosomal RNA (465 nucleotides) under Vreelandella stevensii. Its description in RNAcentral is "partial 16S ribosomal RNA". It matches the Rfam family "Bacterial small subunit ribosomal RNA", at positions 338 to 795 of the family's 1533-position model. The record is from RNAcentral. Lineage: Bacteria; Pseudomonadati; Pseudomonadota; Gammaproteobacteria; Oceanospirillales; Halomonadaceae.
CCUACGGGUUGCAGCAGUGGGGAAUAUUGGACAAUGGGCGAAAGCCUGAUCCAGCCAUGCCGCGUGUGUGAAGAAGGCCUUCGGGUUGUAAAGCACUUUCAGUGGGGAAGAAAGCCUUGGGGCUAAUACCCUCGAGGAAGGACAUCACCCACAGAAGAAGCACCGGCUAACUCCGUGCCAGCAGCCGCGGUAAUACGGAGGGUGCGAGCGUUAAUCGGAAUUACUGGGCGUAAAGCGCGCGUAGGCGGUCUGAUAAGCCGGUUGUGAAAGCCCCGGGCUCAACCUGGGAACGGCAUCCGGAACUGUCAGGCUAGAGUGCAGGAGAGGAAGGUAGAAUUCCCGGUGUAGCGGUGAAAUGCGUAGAGAUCGGGAGGAAUACCAGUGGCGAAGGCGGCCUUCUGAACUGACACUGACGCUGAGGUGCGAAAGCGUGGGUAGCAAACAGGAUUAGAUACCCUAGUAGUC